RNAcentral lists this long non-coding RNA (1659 nucleotides) under Malus domestica (apple). RNAcentral describes it as "long non-coding RNA (MDOM_LNC019288)". The record is from RNAcentral. Lineage: Eukaryota; Viridiplantae; Streptophyta; Magnoliopsida; Rosales; Rosaceae.
AUUUGCCUCAGCACAGCGAGAAUACUCAUGGCUGAAACGACCAGCAUAUUCUCUUAAUGACUCGUCUGGCUUCUGGUAAAUAGUGUACAAGUCAUCUGCAGAAUGUAAGCGAUCGGUCUGGAAGAUGUGUUGAGAGAUAAACAGUUUCCUCAGUUCGUCAAAUGAGUCUACUGUCUCAGGUGAAAUAUGACAAUACCAGUUUAGAGCUCCGCCAGAGAGGGUGGAAGGGAAGAGAAGACAUCGCUCUUCGUCGGUGUGCAUCUGAUAUGCCAUGGUGGACUCAAAGAGGUUAAGGUGUUCAAUUGGGUCUUCCCUUCCAGUAUAGAGUUGUAAACCAAGCUUUUGUUUUGUCUUCGCUUGAAGGGGGUGUCAGGGAUCCUCCUUGUGAAAUGGCCAGGCAUGGGUUAGUUCCAGUCAGGUAUCUCGGCCUGACGUUCGGCCUUCAACUUGUUUACUUCCUCAAGGAGUUGUAGCACAAGGGGGUCUUGAGUGAAGUCAUGUACCACUGGGAUUUUCUUUCGUAAGUCUCUAUCGCCUCUUUAAAGUAGGAAAGUUUGAGCAAGGGCGUGUGAUUUUUCCUUGGACUCGCUGUACUGACUUCUAGGGCGAGUCUGUCGGAAUACCUCAGAGUCCCCUGUACCUUCAUGUUCCUUUAGGACAUGUCGUUCCUUCCCUAGAUUGGUAGCUGGCUUGGGUCAUAGGAGGGGACCGAGUCUUUCAAAAACCAUUGGGUCAUUGAUCUUCGAGCAUAUGUAGAAGGGAUUCUCUCGAUGUUGCUUUAGGAAGUCUCGACAGUCACGAUAAAUGGCUUUUGAUCCUUCCAACCCUUCUGCAAGGAGGUGUCUUCCUCCACUUCUCCUGCUUCAGGUCGAAGCAGUUGGGUUGAGAGAAGUCUUAUGUCGAUCAAUGUUUUGAUGAUUAACUCGCUCCUCAUUAGGGAUACCCGUGUCGAAUGAAGGUGACCCUCCGUGUUGGGGGGCACCCAGAUGAUGGUUGAUAUCCACAGGGGCAACAAGCUUGCGUGUUUAAGUACGCAUAGUUUUGUGGAACAUCUCAAAGAGCUUCUUAUACUGCUCCUGGAGGACCUCAUUCUUCAUUUCUAUUUUGUUGUUUUGAGCUUCUAGCUCAUCGACUUUAGCUUGAAGAGCAACCAUUUUUCCUUCAUUCUUUCGUUGUUUCGCACUAGGUGUAAGAGAGGUAUCAUUCUGUGUGAUGUGGCUUUCUUCGCUCCCCAUAUUGGAGAGGGAUGCCUGGUCAAAAGAGAGUGUACGAAUGGUAGAAACCAGCUUGACAAAGCUAAAGAGAGUGGGAAUAAGUGUCUUUCCCAUAGACGGUGCCAAAUGUUGAUGCACAAAAUCAAUGAGGACUUUGGUACAAUAGAAAGUGUUAAGUUUGUGACCUUCGCUAGAUUCCUCCGGUCACUAGUGUGGAUAAGUAUGUAAAUGGAUAGAGACAGGGAAGCAAACACAAGAUGUACGUGGUUCACCCAGAUUGGCUACGUCCACGGAGUAGAGGAGUUCUCAUUAAUUGUGAAGGGUUUACACAAGUACAUAGGUUCAAGCUCUCCUUUAGUGAGUACAAGUGAAUGAUUUAGUACAAAUGGCAUUAGGAAAUAUUAUGAAAGAAUGAUCUCUAUUUAUAGAAGAGAGUUUCUAGUUU